GGAUGUGAGGGUAAUCUGGCUCCAACCUCUGAUACCCUAUUGAUCGCCAGGGUUGAUCAGGCUCAUCUGGCUGGCUGAGCAAGUGUCCCCACCCUCCCUCACUACUCCCUGGGUGACCCUUGGCCUGAAUCUGUGCUCUUGAGCAAGGCAGAUGACCACCACCCCUGUUGGAGGAGGACCAUCUCCUUGGACAGGGGUAUGCCAGUAGCUCCAGUUCUCUGCUGGAACUUCCAAACAAGCUCUCAAGGAACUGUACCUGCAACUAUGGAUGCUAAGUCUCUUGUUCUGCAGGCUGAAGGGAAGGCUUAAACCUAGGGGAACUGGUGACACAGGUCCCAGUUU
Cavia porcellus (domestic guinea pig) is the source of this 342-nucleotide unclassified non-coding RNA. Its record names the gene 7SK. It matches the Rfam family "7SK RNA". Rfam says of the family: 7SK was discovered as an abundant small nuclear RNA in the mid-70s but a possible function has only recently been suggested. The record is from Ensembl. Lineage: Eukaryota; Metazoa; Chordata; Mammalia; Rodentia; Caviidae.